UAUGGCCCCCAAUCAAGCAAGAUUACCCGCCGAACUUAAGCAUAUCAAUAAGCGGAGGA
RNAcentral lists this ribosomal RNA (59 nucleotides) under Starmerella etchellsii. RNAcentral's name for it is "partial large subunit ribosomal RNA". Lineage: Eukaryota; Fungi; Ascomycota; Dipodascomycetes; Dipodascales; Trichomonascaceae. The record is from RNAcentral.